RNAcentral lists this long non-coding RNA (568 nucleotides) under Naja naja (Indian cobra). RNAcentral describes it as "lncRNA (ENSNNAG00000002373.1)". The record is from RNAcentral. Lineage: Eukaryota; Metazoa; Chordata; Lepidosauria; Squamata; Elapidae.
CCGGGAACGCGGCGCUUCGGAAGGCAGGAGCUUGCUCCCAGCCGCGAGGCCGGCGGCUGUUUGGUCCCCCCAAUAUCCAUUCCGGAGCAGGAUUUCGUGGGGAAAGGACCCGCGGUGGGAGAAUUUCGGCAAUCGGAGACCCUCCUUUGCCCGUGGCUCCACGGAGGGAAGCGGAAACGCCGCCAUUUUAGAGCGUCCGGAAAAUCGCUUCGACGCAAGCGUUAGGUUAGAGAGGAAGUUUUUUUCUGGAAGCGGAAGGAGAAGCUUCGUGCUGGAAAUCGAUUCCUGCCUGACGGGAAGUGAAAAGGACGCGUGGGAGGGGUGUCUCAGGGUAACAAAUUAUAGAGGAGGGGGAGAAAGGAAGUGGGGAGGGGGCUUCGCGUUGCCACAAGGGGCUGGCUUGGGCUGUAAACGCCCCCAGCGCUUUGCCUCCUUACGAUCGGAUCCUGGGAAAUUACCUUAUCGGGAGGGCGGACGACGGCGUGGGCUCGUUAUCCUCUAUAAUCUGGGGGCUUUUAGACUGUCUUUUAAAUUGCUGCUUGUCGGGUCAUUGGAGAAAAAUCUGUAA